Molecule: ribosomal RNA, 490 nt
Filed under: uncultured bacterium
Lineage: Bacteria
Description: partial 16S ribosomal RNA
Rfam family: Bacterial small subunit ribosomal RNA
Source: RNAcentral
AUUGAGCGCUGGCGGCAUGCCUUACACAUGCAAGUCGAACGGCAGCAUGAUCUCGCUUGCUAGAUUGAUGGCGAGUGGCGAACGGGUGAGUAAUACAUCGGAACGUGCCCUGUAGUGGGGGAUAACUAGUCGAAAGAUUAGCUAAUACCGCAUACGACCUGAGGGUGAAAGUGGGGGACCGCAAGGCCUCAUGCUAUAGGAGCGGCCGAUGUCUGAUUAGCUAGUUGGUGAGGUAAAGGCUCACCAAGGCGACGAUCAGUAGCUGGUCUGAGAGGACGAUCAGCCACACUGGGACUGAGACACGGCCCAGACUCCUACGGGAGGCAGCAGUGGGGAAUUUUGGACAAUGGGCGAAAGCCUGAUCCAGCAAUGCCGCGUGUGUGAAGAAGGCCUUCGGGUUGUAAAGCACUUUUGUCCGGAAAGAAAUGGCUCUGGUUAAUACCUGGGGUCGAUGACGGUACCGGAAGAAUAAGGACCGGCUAACUACGUG